RNAcentral lists this ribosomal RNA (192 nucleotides) under uncultured bacterium. Its description in RNAcentral is "partial 16S ribosomal RNA". It matches the Rfam family "Bacterial small subunit ribosomal RNA", at positions 328 to 538 of the family's 1533-position model. The record is from RNAcentral.
ACGCUCGACACCUACGGGAGGUAGCAGUGGGGAAUAUUGCACAAUGGGGGAAACCCUGAUGCAGCGACGCCGCGUGAGCGAAGAAGUAUUUCGGUAUGUAAAGCUCUAUCAGCAGGGAAGAAACUGACGGUACCUGACUAAGAAGCACCGGCUAAAUACGUGCCAGNCGCGAGUAUGNGCGGCGNGNGAGAG